This 125-nucleotide microRNA precursor is filed under the name Podarcis lilfordi (Lilford's wall lizard). The record is from RNAcentral. Lineage: Eukaryota; Metazoa; Chordata; Lepidosauria; Squamata; Lacertidae.
ACCUGCCUCCUUCCCGUCCUCUCCCCUGCCUGCCUGUCUCCUCCAGCCAAGAGAACGGGGCGAGCUGCUGCACGUGCUCCCGGCUGGAGGAGGCAGGCAGGGGAGAGGACAGGAAGGAGGCAGGC